Molecule: ribosomal RNA, 863 nt
Filed under: Bacillus cereus
Lineage: Bacteria; Bacillati; Bacillota; Bacilli; Caryophanales; Bacillaceae
Description: bacterial SSU rRNA
Rfam family: Bacterial small subunit ribosomal RNA
Source: RNAcentral
AGCUUGCUCUUAUGAAGUUAGCGGCGGACGGGUGAGUAACACGUGGGUAACCUGCCCAUAAGACUGGGAUAACUCCGGGAAACCGGGGCUAAUACCGGAUAACAUUUUGAACCGCAUGGUUCGAAAUUGAAAGGCGGCUUCGGCUGUCACUUAUGGAUGGACCCGCGUCGCAUUAGCUAGUUGGUGAGGUAACGGCUCACCAAGGCAACGAUGCGUAGCCGACCUGAGAGGGUGAUCGGCCACACUGGGACUGAGACACGGCCCAGACUCCUACGGGAGGCAGCAGUAGGGAAUCUUCCGCAAUGGACGAAAGUCUGACGGAGCAACGCCGCGUGAGUGAUGAAGGCUUUCGGGUCGUAAAACUCUGUUGUUAGGGAAGAACAAGUGCUAGUUGAAUAAGCUGGCACCUUGACGGUACCUAACCAGAAAGCCACGGCUAACUACGUGCCAGCAGCCGCGGUAAUACGUAGGUGGCAAGCGUUAUCCGGAAUUAUUGGGCGUAAAGCGCGCGCAGGUGGUUUCUUAAGUCUGAUGUGAAAGCCCACGGCUCAACCGUGGAGGGUCAUUGGAAACUGGGAGACUUGAGUGCAGAAGAGGAAAGUGGAAUUCCAUGUGUAGCGGUGAAAUGCGUAGAGAUAUGGAGGAACACCAGUGGCGAAGGCGACUUUCUGGUCUGUAACUGACACUGAGGCGCGAAAGCGUGGGGAGCAUACAGGAUUAGAUACCCUGGUAGUCCACGCCGUAAACGAUGAGUGCUAAGUGUUAGAGGGUUUCCGCCCUUUAUUGCUGAAGUUAACGCAUUAAGCACUCCGCCUGGGGAAUACGGCCGCAAGGGUGAAACUCAAAGGAAUUGACGGGGGGCC